This 440-nucleotide ribosomal RNA is filed under the name uncultured bacterium. RNAcentral's name for it is "partial 16S ribosomal RNA". It matches the Rfam family "Bacterial small subunit ribosomal RNA", at positions 338 to 795 of the family's 1533-position model. The record is from RNAcentral.
CCUACGGGAGGCAGCAGUAGGGAAUGUUGCGCAAUGGGCGAAAGUCUGACGCAGCAACGCCGCGUGAUCGAGACGAGCUUCGGGGGGUAAAGAGCUGUCAGUGGGGACGAAAAGUGACGGUACCCACAGAGGAAGCACCGGCUAACUCCGUGCCAGCAGCCGCGGUAAUACGGGGGGUGCAAGCGUUGUCCGGAAUCAUUGGGCGGAAAGAGGUCGUAGGCGGCACGGAAAGUCUGGUGUUAAAGGCAGUGGCUCAACUUCUGUACGGCACUGGAUACUUGCGAGCUAGACUGCGGUAGAGGUAACGGGAAUUCCUGUUGUAGCGGUUAAAUGCUUAGAUAUCAGGAGGAACAUCGGUGGCGUACGCGCUUUACUGCGCCGUACUUGCCGCUGAGGCACGAAAGCCCGGGUAGCAAAUGGGAUUAGAUACCCCAGUAGUC